Molecule: long non-coding RNA, 357 nt
Organism: Rhododendron vialii
Lineage: Eukaryota; Viridiplantae; Streptophyta; Magnoliopsida; Ericales; Ericaceae
Exons: 2
Source: RefSeq, a predicted model, not a curated record
AAAUAGAUUAGUGCCUGUUGCGGGAAAGGCUUUUCCCAUGCGUGGAUUAUCAAUUCGCAUAGAGAUGAUGGUCUUCCUCUGAUGUCUCCAAGCCGGCCAUAAUAGAAUCCAUGUGAUGCCCAUAUGAAGAACUUUCUUGACUGCACUGAUGAAAUCCGUCGUAGGGCUUUGGAAACAGUUUGCCAUGGUUGAUUUGGGGUGUCUUUGGGACGGAAAGAAAAGCCAAGACAUUUCCUUACACAAAUACAAGUUUUUUUUAACCUUUGCUUUUCCCACCACAAAUACCUUCAUAAAUUCAAGACCCAAAUGGCCAAAUACAACAUAAGUGUCCCAUACUUUCACUAAUGAAAGCCAUCC